UACCAAAUCUUGACAUCCUCUGACCCCUCUAGAGAUAGAGUGGUUUCCCCUUCGGGGGACAGAGUGACAGGUGGUGCAUGGUUGUCGUCAGCUCGUGUCGUGAGAUGUUGGGUUAAGUCCCGCAACGAGCGCAACCCUUAAGCUUAGUUGCCAUCAUUAAGUUGGGCACUCUAAGUUGACUGCCGGUGACAAACCGGAGGAAGGUGGGGAUGACGUCAAAUCAUCAUGCCCCUUAUGAUUUGGGCUACACACGUGCUACAAUGGACAAUACAAAGGGAGCGAAACCGCGAGGUCAAGCAAAUCCCAUAAAGUUGUUCUCAGUUCGGAUCUGUAGUCUGCAACUCGAGUACAUGAAGGCUGGAAUCCGGG
Molecule: ribosomal RNA, 369 nt
Filed under: uncultured Staphylococcus sp.
Lineage: Bacteria; Bacillati; Bacillota; Bacilli; Caryophanales; Staphylococcaceae
Description: bacterial SSU rRNA
Rfam family: Bacterial small subunit ribosomal RNA
Source: RNAcentral